Molecule: non-coding RNA, 148 nt
Filed under: Gorilla gorilla gorilla (western lowland gorilla)
Lineage: Eukaryota; Metazoa; Chordata; Mammalia; Primates; Hominidae
Source: Rfam by way of RNAcentral
GCUGGGUGUGGUGGCGUGCACCUGUAAUCCCAGCUACUUGGGAGGCUGAGAUAGGAGAAUCGCUUGAACCCGGGAGACGGAGCUUGCAGUGAGCCGAGACUGUGCCGCUGCACUCCAGCCUGGGUGACAGAGUGAGACUCCAUCUCAA